RNAcentral lists this ribosomal RNA (253 nucleotides) under uncultured bacterium. Its description in RNAcentral is "partial 16S ribosomal RNA". It matches the Rfam family "Bacterial small subunit ribosomal RNA", at positions 524 to 776 of the family's 1533-position model. The record is from RNAcentral.
UACGUAGGGUGCGAGCGUUGUCCGGAAUUAUUGGGCGUAAAGAGCUCGUAGGCGGUUUGUCGCGUCUGCUGUGAAAACCCGAGGCUCAACCUCGGGCCUGCAAUGGGUACGGGCAGACUAGAGUGCGGUAGGGGAGAUUGGAAUUCCUGGUGUAGCGGUGGAAUGCGCAGAUAUCAGGAGGAACACCAAUGGCGAAGGCAGAUCUCUGGGCCGUAACUGACGCUGAGGAGCGAAAGCAUGGGGAGCGAACAGG